AGAACGAACGCUGGCGGCGUGGAUAAGACAUGCAAGUCGAACGCGAUUUAUCAGGUUAGCAAUAACUUGGUAAAUUGAGUGGCGAAAGGGUGCGUAACACGUGGGAAUUUACCGAGAAGUGGGGAAUAGCUCGACGAAAGUCGAAUUAAUACCGCAUGUGAUCGAAAGAUCAAAGCCGGGGACCGCAAGGCCUGGCGCUUCUUGAGAAGCCCGCGGCCCAUCAGCUAGUUGGCGGGGUAAAAGCCCACCAAGGCUAUGACGGGUAGCUGGUCUGAGAGGACGACCAGCCACACUGGAACUGAGACACGUCCAGACACCUACGGUGGCAGCAGUCGAGAAUUUUUCACAGU
Molecule: ribosomal RNA, 350 nt
Filed under: uncultured bacterium
Lineage: Bacteria
Description: SSU rRNA
Rfam family: Bacterial small subunit ribosomal RNA
Source: RNAcentral